UCCCUGCUGCCGGAGGAGAAUUCCCUGCACCAACAGCCUCUUGUUGCAGGGGCUUAGAGCAGUUCCCAAAGCAAAACCCCAAGGGAACCUAACGCUGCUGCUAACCCAUUGGAAGGGCGAGGAGGGGACAGCCACCGUGCAGCUCGAAGGAAGGUGGUCGCUGCUGCCAUCAGAUGCCCCGUCUGCCAUCACCUCUACGGCCAGUGGAAAAGGACUUCCUGAUGCUUGUGACUCUUGUUGCAUUCUCCAAAAUCUAUCGAGAGCAGGAUUAGACUAAGUAACUUCCAAAGCCAAAGAGAAGGUCAACGUGGUAAGGGUGCUGGCACGGCACACCUUUGUACUCAAACUCGUAGGGGGGAGCUGCUGAAGGAUGUGCUUGGCUGUGAAGGUCUGCUGGAAUGUCUUCAGUCAUAGGCCACCCCCCCAGAGUGUGGGACAUCUCUGUAACAAGGCAGCUGAAGAUGUGAGGAUGUUCUGGAGCAAAGGCUUGCACAACCCCUGUGUUUUGACGUUAUUCUUCUCGGCGAUAGACGGGGAAUAUAGCAGCUCCAGCUUACCGCAGCAGUGCAGUGUGAUUCCUCGCAGUCUACGUGUAAAAAACACCUUCUUACACCAAUGAGCACGAAGAGACAAGUAAGGUAGGCUGGCAACUACUGGGACUCUGGGAAACGGGCGUUCAGCUCUGCUUCCUCUGCUGCAAGGAAAAUAGACAGGACUGGAUCCUAAAGCUGUAAUCAGGGCACAGUUUCAUCUCCAGAAGUUCACUAACAACAAGGAUCAACGAGAAG
This is a long non-coding RNA of Grus americana (Whooping crane), 788 nucleotides long. RefSeq lists it as uncharacterized. The record is from RefSeq and is a predicted model, not a curated record. Lineage: Eukaryota; Metazoa; Chordata; Aves; Gruiformes; Gruidae. The transcript is spliced from 3 exons.